RNAcentral lists this unclassified non-coding RNA (2289 nucleotides) under Hevea brasiliensis (rubber tree). Lineage: Eukaryota; Viridiplantae; Streptophyta; Magnoliopsida; Malpighiales; Euphorbiaceae. The record is from RNAcentral.
GUAGAUAAACGAAGCACCCAAUUGAUCAUCAAAAUUAAUUAGUGGAAUAUAGCAGUAACUUCCUCCAAAUAAGCCUGUGGAGAAGAAUGUCAAAUAACCUGUAGCAAUUUUUAAAGCUAAUCACCAAAAUACUAGAUACUUUACAGCAAAAGUAGAACUUUAAACAGAAAAGUUUCUACUUCUUAAAUAGAUGACCAAAAUUGCCAACAUGUCAGCUAAAUAGUCAGAAAUGGUGACAAAAAGAAGCCUGAGCCCAAUGCUUGUGUAACAAGAAACUGUUCAAGAUUCAGAUUAGAGCAUAACAGAACUAAAGAAACUUGUUCAAGCCAACUAGAAAUUGACAACAAAUUUGAAGCAAAUAGCUAUCAUCCAUCUACACUAAAUAAUGGCCAAAUUAAAUCUUGUCAAAUGUUCCUUAUUAACAAGUAAAUUCAUGAUUAUGCCGGUCCUAUUAACUUUUCGUGACGCUGGGUAUGAAAACAACAUGUUUUAGCAAAUGCAUGUAACAUCUGUCCUUGCAGUUGCCACAUCUGUUGAUGUAAUGAAGGAUAGAUAAGACCAUUGAUGGGCAGCAUGGCAGAAUAACCAAACAAAGAUCAAGGUGUUGUGCCAUUCUCUCUUUCUUUAUCAGCCUUAAAUAAUUUAGCAAAAGCUGAACUAAAUAAAAGGCAUAACUAAUUACAUGCAGCACUUUGGCUGUUGUUUGUUUUGCUACUUGGUGAUCCAGCUGCAUUCUUUGCAUUAUGCUGUUUUAUAACAUGUACAAUAGAAACUUGCAAUCCACUUGCAACAUAGACAGAUUCAAAUCCAUCAACCCUAUAGCCAUUUACCUAUUAUUACAAAUAAUUUUUUUUUUUGAAACUGGUAACUUUCUAUGAUUACAAAUAAUAAGGCAAGAAGAAGAGUGCAAUAAAACCCAGAUCCAUUAGGCAUAGCUAGAGAGCUCAGGCAAGCAGCGAUAAUUGUAUAUCUUCUUUUUUUGGGGGUAUUGUCCAUGAAAUUCUUUUAUUCCGAGAGGAACAUAACUACCUUCAUGUUGAAUUAGAAGGAUAAGGAGGUUAGAUAAAAAUGUAAAGCAUACAAGUGUUACAAUAUCAUGCUACAUUAAACAGUAGAUGCACGUUACACAACAACAAUUCAAGUCUAUCACACUCUACAACUAUCUGCCACUCAACACUUGCAGACUAGGUUUAUUUUAAUUUUAGAGCUGAGCUUCCAUGAACAAUAAAAAUCUUCUCAUUUUCAGGCAAUGGAGUAAAGCGCCAAAAUUCCCACCAUCCGAUCCUACAUCUACCUCAUCAUCAGGCACAUCACAAAAAUCUUUCAAUUAAAGAACUGACAUUCUGUUCUGUAGUCUCCAAAGGCCAGUCCAUUAUAACUAAUCAGGAAAAAACUCUCCUGUGGCCUCAGUGUAAACAUUUCUACACAAAAUUCCCAUUUAUCCACAAUACAUUUCAGGAAAACAGUACAGAAACUAGAGAUGUCUGCUCAAAAGUUGAAAGAGUGUAUAGAAGAAGUUCUAAUUCUAUAGGUAGAUACUCAAAACAACAGCAUAGCUUACUAUAUGAUGAGGAAGAGAUGGAAAGGAAAAAUACAAGACAGAAAUAGCUACAGAAAAUGAGAAGCUAUACAAAUACAGCAGUACCUUUUCUUCUCCUCUUCAUCAAGUUUAUUUUUUUCACUGAUACCCUUUUGCUCCUUCGAUCCGAUACUUGAACCAGGUGAUUUACCAAUAGGAGACAAUGAGGUACUCCUACUUCUCUGUCUCCUAUGGUUCCUUGGAGAGCGACUCUUAUGACGUCUGGUGGCUGGAGAACGACUUUUGCGGCGCCUAGGGGACAAUGAACGACUUCGUUUUCUGCUAUAAGCAUAAGGGGAUCUGCUUCUAUCUCUCCUGCUUCUUCUGCUAUGUCUGCGCACCACAGGCGAGGGUGACCGUGAAUAUCUCCUCUUAUAUGCUGGUGACCUCGACCUAGACCUUGAAAUAUCCCUAUCCCUACCUCUACCCAUCUCUUCCUCAAAUAGUUAUAUCUAAAAAGCCAGAAAUUCACCUGCUAUAACAAAGAAAGAAUGGAUCUUUCCCGGAGCAUAACGAGAAAAUAAACCCUAAAAAGUGGAAGGAAGUGAGAUAUAUUUUGUGGGUCUUUUUCAGGGCCGAAUGAAUGAUUGAACUACACACAAAUGGGAGUUUUCUUGUACAAAGCAAAUACACAGAAAGAUGAGAGAUUAUGGAUGGAGUCGCUUGCAAAGGAAGAUGAGCGAUGACUAUACCCAACGAAAAAGGGCCCG